This 486-nucleotide ribosomal RNA is filed under the name uncultured bacterium. RNAcentral describes it as "bacterial SSU rRNA". It matches the Rfam family "Bacterial small subunit ribosomal RNA", at positions 28 to 505 of the family's 1533-position model. The record is from RNAcentral.
GAUGAACGCUAGCGGCAGGCUUAAUACAUGCAAGUCGUGGGGCAGCACAGUGUAGCAAUACAUGGGUGGCGACCGGCAAACGGGUGCGUAACACGUACGCAACUUACCCAUUACAGAGGGAUAGCCCAGGGAAACUUGGAUUAAUACUUCAUAUUAUAUAGGGCUGGCAUCAGUUUUAUAUCAAAGCUACGGCGGUAAUGGAUGGGCGUGCGGUUGAUUAGAUAGUUGGCGGGGUAACGGCCCACCAAGUCUACGAUCAAUAGCUGAUGUGAGAGCAUGAUCAGCCACACGGGCACUGAGACACGGGCCCGAACUUCCUACGGGAGGCAGCAGUAAGGAAUAUUGGGCAAUGGACGCAAGUCUGACCCAGCCAUGCCGCGUGCAGGAAGACGGUUCUAUGGAUUGUAAACUGCUUUUAUACAGGAAGAAACCCUACCACGUGUGGUAGAUUGACGGUACUGUAGGAAUAAGGAUCGGCUAACUCCG